CAGAGGUGGCAAGCGUUGUUCGGAAUUACUGGGCGUAAAGGGCGAGUAGGUGGCCAUCUAAGUCAGACGUGAAAUCCCCCGGCUUAACCUGGGAACUGCGUCUGAUACUGGACGGCUAGAGUUUGGGAGAGGGAUGCAGAAUUCCAGGUGUAGCGGUGAAAUGCGUAGAUAUCUGGAGGAAUACCGGUGGCGAAGGCGGCAUCCUGGACCAACACUGACACUGAAUCGCGAAAGCUAGGGGAGCAAACGGGAUUAGAUACCCCGGUAGUCCUAGCCCUAAACGAUGAAUGCUUGGUGUGGCGGGUAUCGAUCCCUGCCGUGCCGAAGCUAACGCAUUAAGCAUUCCGCCUGGGGAGUACGGUCGCAAGGCUG
This 372-nucleotide ribosomal RNA is filed under the name uncultured organism. RNAcentral's name for it is "bacterial SSU rRNA". It matches the Rfam family "Bacterial small subunit ribosomal RNA", at positions 526 to 896 of the family's 1533-position model. The record is from RNAcentral.